RNAcentral lists this ribosomal RNA (253 nucleotides) under uncultured bacterium. Its description in RNAcentral is "partial 16S ribosomal RNA". It matches the Rfam family "Bacterial small subunit ribosomal RNA", at positions 524 to 776 of the family's 1533-position model. The record is from RNAcentral.
UACGAAGGGGGCUAGCGUUGUUCGGAAUCACUGGGCGUAAAGCGCACGUAGGCGGAUGUGCCAGUCAGGGGUGAAAUCCCGGAGCUCAACUUCGGAACUGCCUCUGAUACAGCACGUCUUGAGUCCGGAAGAGGUGGGUGGAAUUCCUAGUGUAGAGGUGAAAUUCGUAGAUAUUAGGAAGAACACCGGUGGCGAAGGCGGCUCACUGGUCCGGUACUGACGCUGAGGUGCGAAAGCGUGGGGAGCAAACAGG